RNAcentral lists this ribosomal RNA (1267 nucleotides) under Kocuria rosea subsp. polaris. RNAcentral describes it as "bacterial SSU rRNA". It matches the Rfam family "Bacterial small subunit ribosomal RNA", at positions 108 to 1404 of the family's 1533-position model. The record is from RNAcentral. Lineage: Bacteria; Bacillati; Actinomycetota; Actinomycetes; Micrococcales; Micrococcaceae.
GUAUAUAACGGGAACACCCCCCCUUAUUUGGGAAAACCCGGGAAACGUGUAUAUAAGGGAAACCUCCUCCCCCCGUGGGGGGGGGAAAAGGUUUUUCUGUUUUGGGAGGGCCCCCGGCCUAUCCCUUUGUGUGGGGAUAGGCCUCACAGGGGGACGGGGGUUCCCCCCCUAAGAGGGUCCCCGCCACACGGGGAUUGAACACGGCCCCAACUUCUUGGGGAGGCAGCAGGGGGAAUUUUGCACAAUGGGCGGAAGCCUGAUGCAGCGACGCCGCUUGAGGGAUGACGGCCUUCGGGUUGUAAACCUCUUUCAGUAGGGAAGAAGCGAGAGUGACGGUACCUGCAGAAGAAGCGCCGGCUAACUACGUGCCAGCAGCCGCGGUAAUACGUAGGGCGCAAGCGUUGUCCGGAAUUAUUGGGCGUAAAGAGCUCGUAGGCGGUUUGUCGCGUCUGCUGUGAAAGCCCGGGGCUCAACCCCGGGUCUGCAGUGGGUACGGGCAGACUAGAGUGCAGUAGGGGAGACUGGAAUUCCUGGUGUAGCGGUGAAAUGCGCAGAUAUCAGGAGGAACACCGAUGGCGAAGGCAGGUCUCUGGGCUGUUACUGACGCUGAGGAGCGAAAGCAUGGGGAGCGAACAGGAUUAGAUACCCUGGUAGUCCAUGCCGUAAACGUUGGGCACUAGGUGUGGGGGACAUUCCACGUUUUCCGCGCCGUAGCUAACGCAUUAAGUGCCCCGCCUGGGGAGUACGGCCGCAAGGCUAAAACUCAAAGGAAUUGACGGGGGCCCGCACAAGCGGCGGAGCAUGCGGAUUAAUUCGAUGCAACGCGAAGAACCUUACCAAGGCUUGACAUUCACCGGACCGCCCCAGAGAUGGGGUUUCCCUUCGGGGCUGGUGGACAGGUGGUGCAUGGUUGUCGUCAGCUCGUGUCGUGAGAUGUUGGGUUAAGUCCCGCAACGAGCGCAACCCUCGUUCUAUGUUGCCAGCACGUGAUGGUGGGGACUCAUAGGAGACUGCCGGGGUCAACUCGGAGGAAGGUGGGGAUGACGUCAAAUCAUCAUGCCCCUUAUGUCUUGGGCUUCACGCAUGCUACAAUGGCCGGUACAAAGGGUUGCGAUACUGUGAGGUGGAGCUAAUCCCAAAAAGCCGGUCUCAGUUCGGAUUGAGGUCUGCAACUCGACCUCAUGAAGUCGGAGUCGCUAGUAAUCGCAGAUCAGCAACGCUGCGGUGAAUACGUUCCCGGGCCUUGUACACACCGCCCGUCAAGUCA